This 1060-nucleotide long non-coding RNA is filed under the name Strigops habroptila (Kakapo). Its description in RNAcentral is "lncRNA (ENSSHBG00005019223.1)". Lineage: Eukaryota; Metazoa; Chordata; Aves; Psittaciformes; Psittacidae. The record is from RNAcentral.
UUUUACCUACUCAUUAAUCACAUGCUCUUUUUUAAUGGCAAUUUCAGAUAGGUGCAUCUGAACUAGCUUUGAAUUAUCUGGCUAACAGCAGCAACCUGUGCACAGCUUGUAUUCUGAAAUGCGCUAUGGUCACUUGAGUGUGUUUGCUGCAAAGCAAGUAAAUUCCAUAGCCUGUAGCAUGGCUUGCAUUGCUUGCUAGUGUUCCCUGGGCCAGUUACAUCUAAGGCAAUACCUGAAAUAACUUUGAAACUGCAAAUGUUUGUUACAUGGUAGCUUCUCUGUGUUGCCUUCAGCAUGUACUGGUAUUUUUGUAAUAGUUACUAGAUCUAGGGAUGUCUCUGAUUUUCUUUUGGUCUGAGGAGGAGAUAGUAAGUAAAGGCUGCCUUGUGCGAUAGAAUUUUAUGCUUCAUACCUGACCUUAUUACUCUGUACUUUUUUCAUUCAUGUGUAUGACUGUUGCAAGCAGUAAUGCCAUAGUGAUUGAUAAGUGUUUUCUUCUAGGACUGAAGCAUCUCUGCAUCACUGUCUUUUUGUUAGUUUGUAAUCAAACAAGGUUAGAGUUCAUGUAUUUUAAUUUUGCUAGCCAUUCACUUAGGGGGAAAAAACCCCAACAGACAAAAAUAAUCUUGAAUUUUGUAAAUGUUAGUGUGAAAAUUGCAUUAUAGCAGUAAAACAGCUAAUCUGUGAAUUCUGAACAAUAACUUGCAAACUGGGACAUAUUAUGGGUACUGCCUGCCACUUGGUGUACUUCUAGUUUUAUAGUAAUUGAUUAUUGCCUUUGGUGUUAUCGUAAUUUUAAAAGUGAGGGUUGGACUUAGUGACACAAAUGCUGAGACCUGUAAAUGGCUAAAGUAAUGUAGGCACUUCGUUCAGAAAGAUGGGGUUUUCUUACCAGAGAUUGGACUGUGGGCAGUUGAAAUUUGUAGAUACUGUUAUUACCUAAAGAGAAUCUAAAACUUAAUUUUGUUUGCUAAUGUAUGUAAACAGAAAAAAGUUUUGAGCCUGUACCUUAGGUUUAUUUUUAUAUGUUGAAAACUGCAAUUAAAAUAAUUCUGAAAAC